GGGCCUGUAGUAUAGUGGAUAGUACAAUCGGCUUCGGACCGGUUAACCGGGGUUCGAAUCCCUGCAGGCCCA
Molecule: transfer RNA, 72 nt
Filed under: Candidatus Woesearchaeota archaeon
Lineage: Archaea; Nanobdellati; Candidatus Woesearchaeota
Description: tRNA-Arg
Rfam family: tRNA
About the family: Transfer RNA (tRNA) molecules are approximately 80 nucleotides in length. Their secondary structure includes four short double-helical elements and three loops (D, anti-codon, and T loops). Further hydrogen bonds mediate the characteristic L-shaped molecular structure. tRNAs have two regions of fundamental functional importance: the anti-codon, which is responsible for specific mRNA codon recognition, and the 3' end, to which the tRNAs corresponding amino acid is attached (by aminoacyl-tRNA synthetases). tRNAs cope with the degeneracy of the genetic code in two manners: having more than one tRNA (with a specific anti-codon) for a particular amino acid; and 'wobble' base-pairing, i.e. permitting non-standard base-pairing at the 3rd anti-codon position.
Source: RNAcentral